This 426-nucleotide ribosomal RNA is filed under the name uncultured Actinomycetes bacterium. RNAcentral describes it as "bacterial SSU rRNA". It matches the Rfam family "Bacterial small subunit ribosomal RNA", at positions 233 to 671 of the family's 1533-position model. Lineage: Bacteria; Bacillati; Actinomycetota; Actinomycetes. The record is from RNAcentral.
GCGGCCUAUCAGCUUGUUGGUGAGGUAAUGGCUUACCAAGGCAACGACGGGUAGCCGGCCUGAGAGGGCGACCGGACACACUGGGACUGAGACACGGCCCAGACUCCUACGGGAGGCAGCAGUGGGGAAUAUUGGGCAAUGGACGCAAGUCUGACCCAGCGACACCGCGUGAGGGAUGAAGGCCUUCGGGUUGUAAACCUCUUUCAGUAGGGAAGAAGCGAAAGUGACGGUACCUACAAAAGAAGCACCGGCUAACUAUGUGCCAGCAGCCGCGGUAAUACAUAGGGUGCAAGCGUUGUCCGGAUUUAUUGGGCGUAAAGAACUCGUAGGUGGUUUGUUACGUCGGAUGUGAAACUCUGGGGCUCAACCCCAGACCUGCAUCCGAUACGGGCAGACUAGAGUGUGGUAGGGGAGACUGGAAUUCCU